This 40-nucleotide ribosomal RNA is filed under the name Pholiota sp. X-35. RNAcentral's name for it is "partial 18S ribosomal RNA". The record is from RNAcentral. Lineage: Eukaryota; Fungi; Basidiomycota; Agaricomycetes; Agaricales; Strophariaceae.
UAAUGAUCUUUCCGUAGGUGAACCUGCGGAAGGAUCAUUA